This 8423-nucleotide long non-coding RNA is filed under the name Homo sapiens (human). RNAcentral's name for it is "non-protein coding lnc-GPR183-47:4". Lineage: Eukaryota; Metazoa; Chordata; Mammalia; Primates; Hominidae. The record is from RNAcentral.
GCAGAAGUUGACGGGCGCCAGGCCGGGCAGGUAGAAAGCGCCGCUCCGGCGCGGGCCAGGAACCGCCCCCAGCAGGAGCAGCGACAGCAGCAACAGCCGCGGCCACCGAGGUGGAGACAACACCGGCAGCCUCGCGCUCAUGAUAGUUGUUUCGGGGAAAGGGCAAUCAAACCUAGGGGGUCAAGAGGGAAGGAGGGGUGGGGAGUCUCGGAGACGACUACAAGGCCGCCAGAGAUAAAGGAAGCCGGCCCCCAGAAGGCUAGUUCCGGUUGCGCUAGGAGACACCCCGGGUCCCGCAACAGAAACCGAAGCGGACCGCAACAGAGCAUGCGCACCGCCGUCUGCACAUGCUCAGUGAGAACGGUCGCAGGCACCAGGAGGAGUUUCCGGGAGGGAGCGGGGGCGAAAUCCACUUUCCGGGUUUUCCGCGCGCCAGCUGAGGUGGUUGCUGGGAGAGGUGGUUGCUGGGAGAGCUGUUCCGGCGCUCACGUUCCAAUUCCAAAUUACAAAUUCCGAUCUAGAGCUCCCACGCUUGGGGGCUGUGGAGCGCUCGCCAGCCGCUCCCCGUUUGCUGCUGGGUCUUACGAAGUUCUCAUAUCCAUCAUACAGUUUCUUUGUCACACUGUCCGCGGCACGCCAGUCCCUAUGACAGAAAGCACCUGCGGUCUGUCUGGAGGCGGAGUUGGUGGCGGAGAGAAAAAGUUCUGGAGACACCUGGUUGGGAGCAGGCUAAGGAAACAAAUGGGGAGGAAUUAGCCACAAAUCCUCAAAUAGACAGCUACUCAAAGGCAUCUUCACGGACAAUUUCCAAGCAUUGGAUGCAGUGGUGCAUUCUUGCAUUGGGCAGUGAUUGUGUGCACACAUCUCUUUAAGGGAGAGUGGAAAUGGGGUGAGGAGGAAAAUGGGAGUAGGAUAGAGUGUAGCGUUGACAUUUAUUUUCUUUAAAGGAAGACCCGAGCAUACCUGAGAGCUCAGUGAAGAAAGUAGUUCUGGCGAAUCGGAUUAAUAUGCACCACUGAAACUUGACCUUCGGCCGGCGCGGUGGCUCACGCCUGUAAUCCCAGCACUUUGGGAGGCCGAGAUGGGCGGAUCACGAGGUCAGAAGAUCGAGACCAUCCUGGCUAACACGGUGAAACCCCGUCUCUACUAAAAAUACAAAAAAAUUAGCCGAGCGUGGUGGCGGGCUCCUGUAGUCCCAGCUACUUGGGAGGCUGAGGCAGGAGAAUGGCGUGAACCCGGGAGGCGGAGCUUGCGGUAAGCCGAGAUCGCGCCACUGCACUCCAGCCUGGGCGACUGAGCACGACUCCGUCUCAAAAAAAAAAAAAAAAAAACAAAAAAAAAACUUGACCUUCAUUAUAUCUCACUGCCCUCAUCCCAAACAUUUCCUCUCCCAGUUUUCCAGGAAACGGCAUCGCUGCCCAUCUCUUUUCAGGCCCCAACCCUGGAGAAGAACCUAAAUUUCUCAUUUCCUCACUACCUACCUCCAGUCCUUCAGCAGGUCCCGUUGGUUGGGCUGCUAAACUAUGGGCUAAAUCCUUUCAGUACUUUCCAUGCCCACAGCUACCACUCUGGUCCAAGCCAAAUUCUUAGUUCCCCUGGACUUCUUACUGCAGUAGCCUCUCAGCUUCCACUCUUGGCAAAAUCAAUUUUAUAAAACCUUGAAAUCCCUUAAUACCACUCGUCUGCUUAAACCUCGGCAUCCCACAUUUACCACUAUCAGGAAGGAUCACGUUUGUUUGUUUGCUGUCUCAUUCCCCCAUUUAUAUGUGAAUUCCACGGGUAAGGGCCUGCUCCUACAUCCCACACCUCUACAUCCACAGAGCCUAGAGACCGCAGGCGCGGGGAAAGCACUCCACGACCAUCACUGGCCAGGCCACAAGAGUGCUGGAUCUAAAUUUGGAACCGGACUUUCAGAGCUGAAAUAAACCUGAGGUUUUCCAGGGGCUUUUAACCUCCUUUUACAGCCAAGGAUGCGCCUAAGAAAGGGGAGAGGCUUCCGUGACUUCCUGCAGUAACGCAGCCACUAGAGAUUGAGACUACAACGACUUGGGAGUCUAAAAGUCUGCAACCUUUUCCACUCCAGAGCUCAAUGUUUCCUCAAUCCCCCGGGAUCGGCAUCAGCAAAAACCCGGAGAAGCGGAGCCUUUCUCAAAGAAAAUGACCUCCAGACUCAUGCUACCAUCUCGACCGGUGCAAGUAUCACGCAUGCGCAGGGCCGGCCGCCCGGCCGCACCUCGCCAACUCCUACUCGGACACGUCAUCUAGGUCGGCCUGGGUCUGGUGGGAGGGGCCGGGGGCGGGGCUCGUACGCGGGGCGAAGUGGUCCCCCUACUUCCGGAUCCGGCCUCACCUGGCCAACGCCUCAUUCGGGGUUCCUUGGUUACGUGGCUGCGGUGUCUACCCGGUGCUGGGGCGUGGCGGAGAGAGACCGCCCCGCCCUCCACGCAGGCCACAAAAUGGAGGCCCUGCCCUGUGGGCUUUUGUGGCCUGGGCGCUGUCGUGCCGAAAGACGAAAGUGACAAUUCCAGUUGCAAACUGGAAAGAAAUGGAGUUUUUCCUUCAUUCUCCCCAUGAUCGUGACGGUCCUUUUCUCAAAGUACUAAUACUUUUAAUGGGACUGUAAAACUUGAGGGAUAUGACUCUCUCCUCUCCUCUGCUUCAGAUUGCAUUUGCCAACUCUGAUUUACCGCCAAUACUAUGGUGCUGUCAUAUUCAUAGAGACAGAAAGUAGAGCAGUGGUUGUAGAGAGAGUCUGCAGAAGGAGGGAUGGGGAUUUACUGUUUAAUGGCAUACGGUUUCAGUAUGGGUUGGUGAAAAAGUUGGGAUGAAUGGUGAUGACUGCACAACAAUGCAAAUAUGCUAAUGUCACAGAAGUGUACACUUAAAAAUGGUUAGACGGUAAGUUUUCUAUUAUGUAUAUUUUACCACAAUUUUUUUUUAAAUGCAACAGAGUCUCGCUGUUGCCUAGGCUGGAGUGCAGUGGCAGGAUCUCAGCUCACUGCAACCUCCGCCUUCCAGGUUCAAGCGAUUCUUGUGCCUCAGCCUCCCAAGUAACUGGGAUUACAGGUGCCAGCCACCACGCCCAGCUAAUUUUUGUAUGUUUAGUAGAGAUGGGGUUUCACCAUGUUGGCCAGGCUAGGCUGUUCUCGAACUCCUGAACUCAGGUGAUCCGCCUGCCUUGGUCUCCCCCAGUGCCGAGAUUACACGCGUGAGCCACCACGCCGGGCCCCACAGUUUUUUGUUUUUGUCUUUUAAAUUUUUUUUAACAGCAUUUGUGUCUUUUUUUCUUUUUCUUUUGUUUUUGAAACAGAAUCUCACUCUGUCACCAAGCUGGAGUGCAGUGGCGCCAUCUUGGCUCACUGCAACCUCUGACUCCCUGGUUCAAGCAAUUCUCCUGCCUCAGCCUCUCCAGUAGCUGGGGUUACAGGCACGCACCACCCCGCCCAGCUAAUUUUUGUAUUUUUAGUAGAGAUGGGGUUUCACCAUAUUGGCCAGGGUGGUCUCCAUCUCCUGACCCCGUGAUCCACCUUGCCUUCCCAAAGUGCUGGGAUUACAGGUGUGAGCCACUGCACCCAACCUAAAUGGCAUUUGUUUCUUCCACUCCUCUCUGCCAGAAUAAUUUGGACAGCCUUUUCUGAGUUUCCCAUGACGACUUCUGUAUAAGAUUGUCGGAUAUAGCAAAUAAAAGUACAGUAUACCCAGGUAAAUUUUAAUUUCAGAUGAUCAAUGAAUAAUUUUUUAGUAUAAGUACAUUCCAACUAUUACAUGGGACAUAAGGGUAUUUUAUCUGAUCACCCUACUUUUGUGUCAAGUUAAAAUUAUUAGCAAAAGUGCUUCCGUUUUUAGGAAGUGCACACUGUACUCUAGUAGUUAGGCAGGAGAACAGGGUCUGCGAGCAGGGAACCUAAGGCCGUUUCACACUGACUUCCUAGAGCCAUUUGGAAAGGAAAACCCUAACUUUCCACUCCUAAGUAACAAAAGGCCCAGAGGCCACUCCCUUUGCAAACCCCCACCUUUUCUGUGCCGCAGCUGGAAAAUUGAAAGUGCCUCUGAUUGGUUGCUUUCUGCAACUAAUCAGAUGUUUGCAUAGAGUGUAACUUUGUAACUUCACUUCAGCCUCUGAUUGGUUGCUGUCCCCAACCAAUCAGACUGAUUGUGGGCCAAGGCUUCGUUUGAAUAGAAGUGCAACUUUGUAACUUCACUUUAGCCUCUGAUUGCAGGCCACCACUUCAUUUACAUGGGGUGAGCACCAAGUAAGUGGCCAAUGGGAAACAUCUAGAGGGUAUUUGGACCCGAGAAGAUUCUGUAUCUGGGGCCCUUGAGCUGCUGCUCAGCCUGCUCCCACACUGUGAAGUGUACUUUCACUUUCAAUAAAUCUCUGCUUUCCUUGCUUCAUUCUUUCCUAGCUUUACUGUGCGUUUUGUCCAAUUAUUUGUUCAAAACGCCAAGAACCUGGACAACUUGCUGUCCGCAACCAAUCAGACUGAUUGUGGGCUGAAUCUUCAUUUGCAUGGAAGUGCAACUUUGUAACUUCACUUUAGCCUCUGAUUGCGGGCCACCACUUCAUUUACAUGAGGCAAACACCAAGUAGGUGGCCAAUGGGAAACCUCUAGAGGGUAUUUGGACCUGAGAAGAUUCUGUAUCCGGGGUUCUUGAGCUACUGCUUGGGCUCACUCCCACACUGUGAAGUGUACUUUCACUUUCAAUAAAUCUCUGCUUUCCUUGCUUUGCAGUGCGUUUUGUUCAAUUCUUUGUUCAAAACCCCAAGAAUCUGGACAACUUGCACUCAAGACCCUCUACGGGUUUGGCGAGCCAGACCACUAUGGGCAACUCUCUAUCUAUUCGACCUGAUUCCACUAUGGGCAAUUCUACACCUGUUCCACCGGAUUCCUCACUUGGCUACAUCAUCCACCAUUGGAAUCAAUUUGACCCUGACACUCUAAAGGGAAAAUGUAUAAUUUUUUUCUGUAAUACUGUUUGGCCCCAUUAUGAGCUGCCCAGCCCCCAGCAAUGGGCAGUCAGUGGUAGCCUUAAUUAUGACACCAUCCUGCAAUUAGACCUACUUUGCAAGAGGCUGGGAAGAUGGUCAGAAGUCCCAUAUGUACAGGCUUUUAUCAAAAUAUCAAAAACCUAACAAUCUGUGAAACUCCCAGAACCCACCCCCCAAAGGAAAGUACUAAGGCAGAACUAGAUAUUAUAGAUGACCCUCUUUUACAAGGGCUAGCUGUCUCUCAGGGUGAACAGCAACCAUCCCCAUAAAGCCCCUUGCCAAGUGCUCCUGAGGCUAAAACCCAGGAGCAAACACCAGGGACCCUACUAAAUCCCCCUCACACUUGGAGAGGAAUGCCAUAUUCAAUUCUCUCUCCAGCCCUGCUACCUCUUAGGGAAGUAGCAGGAACCAAGGGGCCAGUCCUAGUGCAGGCCCCCUUCUCUAUAAUUUAUACAUACAAUAUAAGGAAAAGCUAGGAAACUAUUCUGAGAAUCCUAAGAAACUUGCAGAUGGGUUCCAGCGUUUGACCUUAGCCUCUGAUCUAUCAUGGAGAGAUGUUCAAUUCAUUCUAGCAACCUGUUACACACCCUCAGAAAAGGAAUGAAUCUCUGAGGCCGCCCACCUGCAAGCAAUGAAUUAUUUGCCCAAAACUCUCAGGGCAAUCAUCCCGGCCCAGACACAGUUCCCACUAUUGAUCAUAAUUGGGACUAUAACACUCCUGAGGAAAUGAACAACCGGGCUAAAUUUCUUGAGGCUCUCCUUGGAGGAAUGAGAAAGGGAAUAACUAAAGGCAGUAAAUUAUGAUAAAGUAAGGGAGGUUACACAAGGCAAGGAGGAAAAUCCAGCCAUGUUUUAUGGCAGGCUGGAGGGAGACUUUAAAAAAUAUACUAAUCUGGACCCUUCCUCUCCCGAAGGCAAAAUAUUAAUAGCACAGCAUUUCAUUAGCCAAUCUGCCCCAGACAUUAGAGAUAAGCUCCAAAAGCUACAGAUGGGGCCACAAACUAAUCAAAAUCAGCUUACUUAUAUCACAUUUAUGGUGUAUAACAAUCGUGACCUGAAGGAAGGAAAAAGGGAACAGAGUAAACAAAAUGGCAAGCCAAAAGUAUGGCAGCCAUCAUUGACGAUGCCCUGAAUGUACAAAGAGUGUCUAAGGGAAACCCGAAGGGCCAUAAAGAUAAUGCCAGCAAAGGCUCUUGCUUCAAAUGCAAGAAAAGAAGACAUUGGGCAAAGGAUUGUGCUAAGUCCCCGCCAGGCCCCUGCCGUCAAUGCAAGGGCACCAGUCAUGACCCCUGGCACUGGAGAAUUGACUGCCCAUGUUCCCACUGAGGGGCUCAGUCAGUCAAAACUCUAGCAGUGCAAAAGGAGGAAUUAGAUGAAGACUGAAGGGGCCUGAGGUCUUCCUCACUGCCCCUGUUCAGGAACAUUGUAAUUACUACUGAGGAGCCCCAGGUAACUCUGGACGUCAUGGGCACCCAAAUUCAGUUUCUUUUUGAUGCAGGAGCAAAUUACUCUGUUCUUACUGCUUAUGCAGUAAGGCGUUCCUCCCAGUCCACAAGUGUUAUGGGAAUAGAAUGGAAGCCACAAACGAGUUUUUAUUUUAUUUUAUUUUAUUUUAUUUUACUUUAAGUUCUGGGAUACAUAUGCAGAAUGUGCAGGUUUGUUACAUAGGUAUACAUGUGCCAUGGUGGUUUGCUGCACCUAUCGACCCAUCAUCUAGGUUUUAAGUCCCACAUGGAUUAGGUAUUUGUCCUAAUGCUCUUCCUCCCCUUGCCCCCAACCCCCCAACAGGCCUUGGUGUGUGAUGUUCCCCUCCCUGUGUCCAUGUGUUCUCAUUGUUCACCUCCCACUUAUUAGUGAGAACAUGCGGUGUUUGGUUUUCUGUUCCUGUGUUAGUUUGCUGAGAAUGAUGGUUUCCAGCUUCAUCCAUGUUCCUGCAAAGGACAUGAACUCAUUCUUUUUUAUGGUUGCGUAGUAUUCCAUGGUGUAUAUGUGCCAUAUUUUCUUUAUCCCGUCUAUCACUGAUGGGCAUUUGGGUUGGUUCCAAGUCUUUGCCAUGGUAAAUAGUGUUGCAGUAAACAUACAUGUGCAUGUAUCUUUAUAAUAGAAUGAUUUAUAAUCCUUUGGGUAUAUAUCCAGUAAUGGGAUUGCUGGGUCAAAUGGUAUUUCUGGUUCUAGAUCCCUGAGGAAUCACCACACUGUCUUCCACAAUGGUUGAACUAAUUUACACUCCCACCAACAGUGUAAAAAUGUUCCUACUUCUCCACAGCCUCACCAGCCUGUUUCCUGACUUUUUAAUGAUCACCAUUCUAACUGGUGUGAGAUGGUAUCUCACUGUGAUUUUGAUUUGCAUUUCUCUAACAACAAGUGAUGAGCAUUUUUUCAUAUGUUUGUUGGCUGCAUAAAUGUCUUCUUUUGAGAAGUGUCUGUUCAUAUCCUUUGCCUACUUUUUGAUGGGGUUGACAAACAAGAUUCAUUACUCCUCCUUUGAUUUGUCAAUUUGAGAAACAACUCUUCCAACAGGAUUUCCUAGUAGUACCAAGCUGCCCAAUCCCCCUGUUGGGAAGAGAUAUUAUGGUUAAAAUGGAGGCACUACUACAAUUUAAGCAUCACCCAUUGAAAUUGCUGAUAGUCAAAAAUACAGUGUUCCAGACCACAUUAAUAAAUAGGUUAACCCGCUGGCAUUGGUAUACUGGAAAACCAGGGAAGGCUAAAACAGCAGUGCCAGUCAAAAUACAUUUUAAAGACCUCAGCUAGUUUCCCAAUUGAAAAUAAUAUCCAAUUAAGCAGGAAGCAAGAAAAGGCCUAGCACCCAUAAUUGAGGUAUUACUUAUUACAUGGGCUCUUAAAAUCCUGUAAUUCCCCUUGCAAUACCUGUUCUAAAGCCUUUGGGGGAAUACCAGUUAGUAUAGGACUGGAGAAUACCGGUUAGUAUAGGACCUGAGAAUAAUUAAUGAGGCUGUUAUCCCCGUCCACCCACUGGUGGCAGAUCCAUAUACCCUUAUGGCUCAGGUACAAGGGGAUGCAAAAUGGUUCUCAGUCCUGGACCUAAAAGAUGCUUUCUUCUCCAUCCCUCUGGCCCCAGAGUCCCAAUACCUUUUUGCCUUUGAAUGGGAAAAUCAAUAUGAGGGAAAAACAGUAAUAUACCUGGACAGUGCACCCUUAGGGCAUUCAGGAUAGCCCCCAUUGGAUUGCCCGAGCCUUAGAGAGGGAUCUGAAGGAUCUGAAAGUGAAAAAUGGGAAUAUACUCCAGUAUGUGGAUGACUUUCUUGUGUGUAGCCCAAACCCAGGAGGUUUCUGACCAAACUACUAUAAAAACUUUGAAUUUCCUGGCAGACAGGGGAUACAAAGUGUCCGACAAGAAGGCACAGAUUAUCCUCCAAUGGGUGCAAUAUUUAGGGUAUGUCUUAACACCCAGAGCCUGACAAAUAUCCCC